GUCGGGAUAGCUCAGCUUGGUAGAGCAAGGGACUGAAAAUCCCUGUGUCGGCGGUUCAAGUCCGUCUCUCGACA
This 74-nucleotide transfer RNA is filed under the name Rickettsiales bacterium. RNAcentral's name for it is "tRNA-Phe". It matches the Rfam family "tRNA". From Rfam's summary of the family: Transfer RNA (tRNA) molecules are approximately 80 nucleotides in length. Lineage: Bacteria; Pseudomonadati; Pseudomonadota; Alphaproteobacteria; Rickettsiales. The record is from RNAcentral.